Molecule: ribosomal RNA, 430 nt
Filed under: Bacteroidota bacterium
Lineage: Bacteria; Pseudomonadati; Bacteroidota
Description: Bacteroidetes bacterium partial 16S ribosomal RNA
Rfam family: Bacterial small subunit ribosomal RNA
Source: RNAcentral
UAGGGAAUCUUCGGCAAUGGGGGGAACCCUGACCGAGCAACGCCGCGUGAGUGAAGAAGGUUUUCGGAUCGUAAAGCUCUGUUGUUAAGGAAGAACGAGUGUGAGAAUGGAAAGUUCAUGCUGUGACGGUACUUAACCAGAAAGGGACGGCUAACUACGUGCCAGCAGCCGCGGUAAUACGUAGGUGGCAAGCGUUGUCCGGAUUUAUUGGGCGUAAAGCGAGCGCAGGCGGUCAAUUAAGUCUGAUGUGAAAGCCCCCGGCUCAACCGGGGAGAGUCAUUGGAAACUGGUUGACUGGAGUGCAGAAGAGGAGAGUGGAAUUCCAUGUGUAGCGGUGAAAUGCGUAGAUAUAUGGAGGAACACCAGUGGCGAAGGCGACUCUCUGGUCUGUAACUGACGCUGAGGCACGAAAGCGUGGGUAGCAAACAGG